Molecule: RNA transcript, 238 nt
Organism: Canis lupus familiaris (dog)
Lineage: Eukaryota; Metazoa; Chordata; Mammalia; Carnivora; Canidae
Exons: 2
Source: RefSeq, a predicted model, not a curated record
GCAGCCUCCGGAGCCUCCCACCGACCCGGGAUUAAUACCCCGCGGCGCGGCCGCCGUCGCCGCUGCCGCGUCGGGGCCUCGGGGGCUGCUCCGGGCUCCGCUCAUGUCACAGGCGUCUUCGCGUGCGGCCCGAAGGGCUGCGAGAGUGAGGGAGAGGCCGGGAGGGCUGGGACCAGGAAUCGCGUUCAACCCCAUCUGGUGCGUCUUUGGCAGAAAGUGAGGAAAGCACCCCCAUUGU